This is a long non-coding RNA of Canis lupus familiaris (dog), 912 nucleotides long. RefSeq lists it as uncharacterized. Lineage: Eukaryota; Metazoa; Chordata; Mammalia; Carnivora; Canidae. The record is from RefSeq and is a predicted model, not a curated record. The transcript has 3 exons.
ACAUGUUGUAAAAGGCAAACAGUGGCUGGCGCAGGCUGUGGCUCAUUCGCCGUCCCUGUCGCAGGUCACAUGGCAGCUGCUGACCACGUGAAGGCAUAGGCUGUGGACACACAUCUUCCUUCCUCCCGCACCAAGAUCCGAGUCCUGCCGGUUUAAACUUCAUUGAUUUUGUACUUUACCUUCCAUUCCGUCCUUGUCUUGUCUUUCAAAUUUCUAAGCUCUUAACCUUGGCAACUGUUCUAUAUUUUGGGGACACAAGAAGAGGCUGACCCAAGGGAUGCUGAUGUGGAAAUUUGUGGAAACUCCAAAGGUAGUUUCAGAGCCUGUUGCAUGUGCUCUACCUUCCUUGUUUGUGAGUUCGGGGAGGUGCUGGGCCUCUCCCAGGAUGGGCUUCCAUGCGAGCGGCAGGACAAGGACCAAAGAAGCUAGUGCCAGUCUCCUUCCAAAGUUCCAUUUCACCCUCCUUGGUAUGUGGCUUCCAACUGCAAAACUAUCUUGUGGUCCAAGGUGACUGCUGGAGCACAGCCAACGUGUCUGCAUUCCAGGUCUUGUCCCGUAAGGUCGAAGAAUGGCAAGAAAGUCUAUGAGUCGUUGAUUCAUCUGUGGUGCAUUCAAGAAGCGAGUCCAAUACUCUCAUGUAGAUAACCAAGAAAAUGUGUUUUCGCUUGGUCUAAAUGGACGUAGAGGAUUCGUAAGGAGCGCUGAGUCUCCCAGGCAGCAUGCUGGCCAGGGGAGUCCUGAGGGGACAGAGGAGAGGACUCUGGAAUCUGAGACGGUAAAUAAAGAUUGGAAGAGGUGGUGAACACCGUGGACCACUCAACCUGGGGAGCAUUAUGAGCUGAACUGGGUCCCCCCAAAAAGAUCUGUUGAGGGCAGCCCGGGUGGCUCAGUGGUUUAGGGUCGUCUUCAGCC